GAUGAACGCUGGCGGCGUGCCUAAUACAUGCAAGUCGAGCGAACAGAUGAGGAGCUUGCUCCUCUGACGUUAGCGGCGGACGGGUGAGUAACACGUGGAUAACCUACCUAUAAGACUGGGAUAACUUCGGGAAACCGGAGCUAAUACCGGAUAAUAUAUUGAACCGCAUGGUUCAAUAGUGAAAGACGGUUUUGCUGUCACUUAUAGAUGGAUCCGCGCCGCAUUAGCUAGUUGGUCAGGUAACGGCUUACCAAGGCGACGAUGCGUAGCCGACCUGAGAGGGUGAGCGGCCACACUGGAACUGAGACACGGUCCAGACUCCUACGGGAGGCAGCAGUAGGGAAUCUUCCGCAAAGGGCGAAAGCCUGACGGAGCAACGCCGCGUGAGUGAUGAAGGUCUUCGGAUCGUAAAACGCUGUUAUUAGGGAAGAACAAAUGUGUAAGUAACUAUGCACGUCUUGACGGUACCUAAUCAGAAAGCCACGGCUAACUACGUG
Molecule: ribosomal RNA, 497 nt
Filed under: uncultured bacterium
Lineage: Bacteria
Description: partial 16S ribosomal RNA
Rfam family: Bacterial small subunit ribosomal RNA
Source: RNAcentral